GAUGAACGCUGGCGGCGUGCCUAAUACAUGCAAGUCGAGCGAACAGACGAGGAGCUUGCUCCUCUGACGUUAGCGGCGGACGGGUGAGUAACACGUGGAUAACCUACCUAUAAGACUGGGAUAACUUCGGGAAACCGGAGCUAAUACCGGAUAAUAUAUUGAACCGCAUGGUUCAAUAGUGAAAGACGGUUUUGCUGUCACUUAUAGAUGGAUCCGCGCCGCAUUAGCUAGUUGGUAAGGUAACGGCUUACCAAGGCAACGAUGCGAAGCCGACCUGAGAGCGUGAACGGCCACACUGGAACUGAGACACGGUCCAGACUCCUACUGGAGGCAGCAGUAGGGAAUCUUCCGCAAUGGGCGAAAGCCUGACGGAGCAACGCCGCGUGAGUGAUGAAGGUCUUCGGAUCGUAAAACUCUGUUAUUAGGGAAGAACAAAUGUGUAAGUAACUAUGCACGUCUUGACGGUACCUAAUCAGAAAGCCACGGCUAACUACGUG
RNAcentral lists this ribosomal RNA (497 nucleotides) under uncultured bacterium. Its description in RNAcentral is "partial 16S ribosomal RNA". It matches the Rfam family "Bacterial small subunit ribosomal RNA", at positions 28 to 507 of the family's 1533-position model. The record is from RNAcentral.